This is a non-coding RNA of Mobula hypostoma (lesser devil ray), 381 nucleotides long. The record is from the annotation of a RefSeq genome assembly. Lineage: Eukaryota; Metazoa; Chordata; Chondrichthyes; Myliobatiformes; Myliobatidae.
AUGUGUGCUGUCUGGUUCCCUCUGAUCCUACUGGCCUUGCUACCAGGAACGAUUGCAGAGGAUUCAGUUUCACAGGAUCCUCCUGAAUUAACGACUGAAGAAGGACAGACCGUAAUGCCGAACUGUAGUUACUCAAUAGCUAAUAGUUACAUUUAUUGGUACAUUCAGCGUCAACAUGGAAGUCCACAAUUCUUGCUGAAGCUAAUUAACACGAGGAUGGAUCGGUCGUCAGAAACUCCGUUUCGGUUUUCUGGUUUCUUACGGAAAGACAGCCAGGUCGCUCAUUUAAAUAUCUCGGGAGUUCUUGCUUCGGAUUCCGCCAUGUAUCUCUGUGCCAUGAAGCUCACGGAGAUGACGGGUCCGGUCAGAAACCUCGCCUAA